RNAcentral lists this transfer RNA (72 nucleotides) under Oligolepis formosanus (Formosan arrowfin goby). RNAcentral's name for it is "tRNA-Asp". It matches the Rfam family "tRNA". From Rfam's summary of the family: Transfer RNA (tRNA) molecules are approximately 80 nucleotides in length. Their secondary structure includes four short double-helical elements and three loops (D, anti-codon, and T loops). Further hydrogen bonds mediate the characteristic L-shaped molecular structure. tRNAs have two regions of fundamental functional importance: the anti-codon, which is responsible for specific mRNA codon recognition, and the 3' end, to which the tRNAs corresponding amino acid is attached (by aminoacyl-tRNA synthetases). tRNAs cope with the degeneracy of the genetic code in two manners: having more than one tRNA (with a specific anti-codon) for a particular amino acid; and 'wobble' base-pairing, i.e. permitting non-standard base-pairing at the 3rd anti-codon position. The record is from RNAcentral. Lineage: Eukaryota; Metazoa; Chordata; Actinopteri; Gobiiformes; Gobiidae.
AAGAUACUAGUAUAGCUGAUAGUACACUGCCUUGUCGAGGCGGAACCGCAGGUUAAACCCCUGCGUAUCUUG